GUGCUCGUAUCGACAGCACAUAUACAAAAAUUGAAAUGAUACAGAGAAGAUUAGCAUGGCCCCUGUGCAAGGAUAACUGUCAAAUCUGUAAAGUGUUCAUAUUUUUA
This is a small nuclear RNA of Otolemur garnettii (small-eared galago), 107 nucleotides long. Lineage: Eukaryota; Metazoa; Chordata; Mammalia; Primates; Galagidae. The record is from Ensembl.